RNAcentral lists this ribosomal RNA (253 nucleotides) under uncultured bacterium. RNAcentral's name for it is "partial 16S ribosomal RNA". It matches the Rfam family "Bacterial small subunit ribosomal RNA", at positions 524 to 776 of the family's 1533-position model. The record is from RNAcentral.
GACAGAGGCCCCAAGCGUUAGGCGGAAUCACUGGGCUUAAAGCGUGUGUAGGCGGACGCCUAAGUGUCUUGUGAAAUCCCACGGCUCACCCGUGGAACUGCUGGGCAUACUGGGCGUCUUGGGCCAACUAGGGGCAGCCGGAACAAGCGGUGGAGCGGUGAAAUGCGUAGAUAUCGCUUGGAACGCCGAAGGUGAAAACAGGCUGCUGGGGUUGUGCCGACGCUGAGACACGAAAGCCAGGGGAGCGAACGGG